This 26-nucleotide non-coding RNA is filed under the name Homo sapiens (human). Lineage: Eukaryota; Metazoa; Chordata; Mammalia; Primates; Hominidae. The record is from RNAcentral.
UCCCACUAGCUUGUGUCAAGAUGUGA